RNAcentral lists this ribosomal RNA (498 nucleotides) under uncultured bacterium. RNAcentral describes it as "partial 16S ribosomal RNA". It matches the Rfam family "Bacterial small subunit ribosomal RNA", at positions 28 to 507 of the family's 1533-position model. The record is from RNAcentral.
GACGAACGCUGGCGGCGUGCCUAAUACAUGCAAGUCGAGCGGACGGAUGGGAGCUUGCUCCCAGACCGUCAGCGGCGGACGGGUGAGUAACACGUGGGCAACCUGCCUGUAAGACUGGGAUAACUCCGGGAAACCGGGGCUAAUACCGGAUAACUCUUUCCCUCACAUGAGGGAAAGCUGAAAGAUGGCAUCUCGCUAUCACUUACAGAUGGGCCCGCGGCGCAUUAGCUAGUUGGUGAGGUAACGGCUCACCAAGGCGACGAUGCGUAGCCGACCUGAGAGGGUGAUCGGCCACACUGGGACUGAGACACAGCCCAGACUCCUACGGGAGGCAGCAGUAGGGAAUCUUCCGCAAUGGACGAAAGUCUGACGGAGCAACGCCGCGUGAGUGAUGAAGGUUUUCGGAUCGUAAAACUCUGUUGUCAGGGAAGAACAAGUACCGGAGUAACUGCCGGUACCUUGACGGUACCUGACCAGAAAGCCACGGCUAACUACGUG